CAUCCCCUGACCGCGUAUGAAAGACGUUUUCACCCUCGGGUGACAGGGAGACAGGUGGUGCAUGGUUGUCGUCAGCUCGUGUCGUGAGAUGUUGGGUUAAGUCCCGCAACGAGCGCAACCCCUACGUUAGUUGCUAACGCGUGAAGGCGAGCACUCUAGACGAACUGCCGUUGACAAAACGGAGGAAGGUGGGGAUGACGUCAAAUCAUCAUGCCCCUUAUGUUCUGGGCUACACACGUGCUACAAUGGCCGGUACAGACGGACGCAAAGCCGCGAGGUGGAGCAAAUCCUAAAAAGCCGGUCUCAGUUCGGAUUGCAGGCUGCAAUUCGCCUGCAUGAAGUCGGAAUCGCUAGUAAUCGCAGGUCAGCAUACUGCGGUGAAUACGUUCCCGGGCCUU
This 398-nucleotide ribosomal RNA is filed under the name uncultured Bacillus sp. Its description in RNAcentral is "bacterial SSU rRNA". It matches the Rfam family "Bacterial small subunit ribosomal RNA", at positions 985 to 1382 of the family's 1533-position model. The record is from RNAcentral. Lineage: Bacteria; Bacillati; Bacillota; Bacilli; Caryophanales; Bacillaceae.